RNAcentral lists this ribosomal RNA (429 nucleotides) under Actinomycetes bacterium. Its description in RNAcentral is "Actinobacteria bacterium partial 16S ribosomal RNA". It matches the Rfam family "Bacterial small subunit ribosomal RNA", at positions 355 to 776 of the family's 1533-position model. Lineage: Bacteria; Bacillati; Actinomycetota; Actinomycetes. The record is from RNAcentral.
UAGGGAAUCUUCCGCAAUGGGCGAAAGCCUGACGGAGCAACGCCGCGUGAGUGAUGAAGGUCUUCGGAUCGUAAAACUCUGUUAUUAGGGAAGAACAAAUGUGUAAGUAACUAUGCACGUCUUGACGGUACCUAAUCAGAAAGCCACGGCUAACUACGUGCCAGCAGCCGCGGUAAUACGUAGGUGGCAAGCGUUAUCCGGAAUUAUUGGGCGUAAAGCGCGCGUAGGCGGUUUUUUAAGUCUGAUGUGAAAGCCCACGGCUCAACCGUGGAGGGUCAUUGGAAAAUGGAAAACUUGAGUGCAGAAGAUGAAAGUGGAAUUCCAUGUGUAGCGGUGAAAUGCGCAGAGAUAUGGAGGAACACCAGUGGCGAAGGCGACUUUCUGGUCUGUAACUGACGCUGAUGUGCGAAAGCGUGGGGAUCAAACAGG